Molecule: ribosomal RNA, 745 nt
Filed under: uncultured bacterium
Lineage: Bacteria
Description: bacterial SSU rRNA
Rfam family: Bacterial small subunit ribosomal RNA
Source: RNAcentral
AGUGGCGAACGGGUGAGUAACGCGUGGGUGACCUACCUUCGAGUGGGGGAUAACGUCCCGAAAGGGACGCUAAUACCGCAUAACAUCCCGCCUUUGAACAGGUGGAGAUCAAAGCCGGGGAUCGCAAGACCUGGCGCUUGAUGAGGGGCCCGCGUCUGAUUAGCUAGUUGGUGGGGUAACGGCUCACCAAGGCGACGAUCAGUAUCCGGCCUGAGAGGGCGGACGGACACACUGGGACUGAGACACGGCCCAGACUCCUACGGGAGGCAGCAGUGGGGAAUUGUUCGCAAUGGGCGCAAGCCUGACGACGCAACGCCGCGUGGAGGAUGAAGGUCUUCGGAUUGUAAACUCCUGUUGCUCGGGACGAAUAGCUUCAACCUAAUACGUUGAAGUCUGACGGUACCGGGUGAGGAAGCCCCGGCUAACUCUGUGCCAGCAGCCGCGGUAAUACAGAGGGGGCAAGCGUUGUUCGGAAUUACUGGGCGUAAAGGGCGCGUAGGCGGCCUGCUAAGUCGAACGUGAAAUCCCCGGGCUCAACCCGGGAACUGCGUCCGAUACUGGUGGGCUUGAAUCCGGGAGAGGGAUGUGGAAUUCCAGGUGUAGCGGUGAAAUGCGUAGAUAUCUGGAGGAACACCGGUGGCGAAGGCGGCAUCCUGGACCGGUAUUGACGCUGAGGCGCGAAAGCCAGGGGAGCAAACGGGAUUAGAUACCCCGGUAGUCCUGGCCCUAAACGAUGAAUGCUUGG